RNAcentral lists this ribosomal RNA (659 nucleotides) under Flavobacterium sp. LCB37. RNAcentral's name for it is "bacterial SSU rRNA". It matches the Rfam family "Bacterial small subunit ribosomal RNA", at positions 63 to 721 of the family's 1533-position model. The record is from RNAcentral. Lineage: Bacteria; Pseudomonadati; Bacteroidota; Flavobacteriia; Flavobacteriales; Flavobacteriaceae.
CGAGGGGUAGAGCUAGCUUGCUAGCUUGAGACCGGCGCACGGGUGCGUAACGCGUAUGCAACCUACCUUGAACAGGGGGAUAGCCCAGAGAAAUUUGGAUUAAUACCCCAUGGUAUUGUCGGAUGGCAUCAUCUGAUAAUUAAAGUCACAACGGUUCAAGAUGGGCAUGCGUCCCAUUAGCUAGAUGGUAAGGUAACGGCUUACCAUGGCAACGAUGGGUAGGGGUCCUGAGAGGGAGAUCCCCCACACUGGUACUGAGACACGGACCAGACUCCUACGGGAGGCAGCAGUGAGGAAUAUUGGUCAAUGGGCGCAAGCCUGAACCAGCCAUGCCGCGUGCAGGAUGACGGUCCUAUGGAUUGUAAACUGCUUUUGUACGGGAAGAAACACUGCUUCGUGAAGCAGCUUGACGGUACCGUAAGAAUAAGGAUCGGCUAACUCCGUGCCAGCAGCCGCGGUAAUACGGAGGAUCCAAGCGUUAUCCGGAAUCAUUGGGUUUAAAGGGUCCGUAGGCGGUCUUGUAAGUCAGUGGUGAAAGCCCAUCGCUCAACGGUGGAACGGCCAUUGAUACUGCAGGACUUGAAUUACUGGGAAGCAACUAGAAUAUGUAGUGUAGCGGUGAAAUGCUUAGAUAUUACAUGGAAUACCAAUUGCGAAGG